This is a long non-coding RNA of Anolis sagrei ordinatus, 238 nucleotides long. RefSeq lists it as uncharacterized. The record is from RefSeq and is a predicted model, not a curated record. Lineage: Eukaryota; Metazoa; Chordata; Lepidosauria; Squamata; Anolidae.
UCCUUUUAGCAAAAAGCCCCUCUUACUUUGUCGUUUUCCCCUGUCCUAAUUUGAGGUCUGGUCCACUCAGUGCCAAGUGAAAAUGAAGAGUUAUUUCUUAUGUAUCAGUGAAAGCAAUGAAUACAUCACAGCCCUGAGAAAUGAAGAAGGAAUUCUCCAGAGAUUUGUGGAAGGAGAGCAGGUCUGUUUUUCAAUCCCUAGCACUGACAAUGAAGAAAAUGCCAAGACCACUGACAGG